This 136-nucleotide microRNA precursor is filed under the name Hordeum vulgare. RNAcentral's name for it is "microRNA MIR1122". It matches the Rfam family "MIR1120/MIR1122 microRNA precursor family". The record is from RNAcentral. Lineage: Eukaryota; Viridiplantae; Streptophyta; Magnoliopsida; Poales; Poaceae.
AUAAUACUCCCUCCAUCCCAAAAUUCCUGUCUUAGAUUUUUCUAGAUAUGAAUGUAUCUAGCCACGUUUUAGUAUUUUGAUACAAUCAUUUCUAAACAAACUUAAGACAAGAAUUUUGGGAUGGAGGGAGUAAUAA